GACGAACGCUGGCGGCGUGCCUAAUACAUGCAAGUCGAGCGCAGGAAAUCGACGGAACCCUUCGGGGGGAAGUCGAUGGAAUGAGCGGCGGACGGGUGAGUAACACGUAAAGAACCUGCCCUCAGGUCUGGGAUAACCACGAGAAAUCGGGGCUAAUACCGGAUGGGUCAUCGGACCGCAUGGUCCGAGGAUGAAAGGCGCUUCGGCGUCGCCUGGGGAUGGCUUUGCGGUGCAUUAGCUAGUUGGUGGGGUAAUGGCCCACCAAGGCGACGACGCAUAGCCGACCUGAGAGGGUGAUCGGCCACACUGGGACUGAGACACGGCCCAGACUCCUACGGGAGGCAGCAGUAGGGAAGCUUCCACAAUGGACGAAGGUCUGAUGGAGCAACGCCGCGUGAACGAUGAAGGCCUUCGGGUCGUAAAGUUCUGUUGUAAGGGAAGAACAAGUGCCGCAGGCAAUGGCGGCACCUUGACGGUACCUUGCGAGAAAGCCACGGCUAACUACGUGCCAGCCGCCGCCGUAA
RNAcentral lists this ribosomal RNA (524 nucleotides) under uncultured bacterium. Its description in RNAcentral is "partial 16S ribosomal RNA". It matches the Rfam family "Bacterial small subunit ribosomal RNA", at positions 28 to 523 of the family's 1533-position model. The record is from RNAcentral.